This 278-nucleotide ribosomal RNA is filed under the name Megasphaera elsdenii DSM 20460. RNAcentral's name for it is "partial 16S ribosomal RNA". It matches the Rfam family "Bacterial small subunit ribosomal RNA", at positions 492 to 776 of the family's 1533-position model. The record is from RNAcentral. Lineage: Bacteria; Bacillati; Bacillota; Negativicutes; Veillonellales; Veillonellaceae.
UAUGGUAAUGCCAGCAGCCGCGGUAAUACGUAGGUGGCAAGCGUUGUCCGGAAUUAUUGGGCGUAAAGGGCGCGCAGGCGGCGUCGUAAGUCGGUCUUAAAAGUGCGGGGCUUAACCCCGUGAGGGGACCGAAACUGCGAUGCUAGAGUAUCGGAGAGGAAAGCGGAAUUCCUAGUGUAGCGGUGAAAUGCGUAGAUAUUAGGAGGAACACCAGUGGCGAAAGCGGCUUUCUGGACGACAACUGACGCUGAGGCGCGAAAGCCAGGGGAGCAAACGGG